Long non-coding RNA from Gavialis gangeticus (Gharial), 1771 nucleotides. RefSeq lists it as uncharacterized. Lineage: Eukaryota; Metazoa; Chordata; Crocodylia; Gavialidae. The record is from RefSeq and is a predicted model, not a curated record. The transcript has 3 exons.
UCUUCCCCUGUUUUAUUAGAGGUUGAAAAAGGUUCAAGACCUGGUUGUACCACUGCUCCCACCGACAGCUAAGGAACCAGUUUGGCGUCUGGUUUGUCUGUUGUUUUACUGCUGACCUUCAAAUCAACUUUAACCCCUGACCCCUGGAGACAUCUAUCAUGACAAGAGGCUGUUUAACACAAAUGGUGCCCAUUUAUAGGGGAAGAGAGUCAGAAGAUUUCCUUUUUAUGAAGAAUUUGGUUUUUCACCCCUCUUUUCUCAGUCACCACAGGUGAAAUCCCUCCUAGCAGCUGGCUUAUGAAAUAAUGUGAGGGGAGGCCUUAAUGAGCUGAAAGCACCCUCAGCUGGAGAUAAAUAUAUGCAAAUGAGAUGCACAAACAAAGGAGCCUGGACAGAGAAAUAUCUGCAAUUCCAGCAAAAUGCUGCCUGCAGCUAGAAGAUGAACAGCUUUGAUAAAAUGAAUACUGAUCUUCAAAACUAGGAGGGAAAUGAGGGGUUUAAAAAAAACUGUACAAAUGAACCAACUCUCUUUCCUGACACAUACCCUUUUCUGACAAAAAGAAUUUCAGCAAGCUUAAGCCACUGCCUGUUGGGGAAGGAUGAUAAAGCAACAAUUAAAUGGUUUAGAGAAUUGUAACCAACAUCCUUCCAAGAUGGAUCAAGGACACAAAGUAUUAAUGAAUGGCAGUUUGCAUGCAUUGCAUUUUAGGAACACACUGCACAAACUACUUAGAACUUGAAACGGGGAUGCAAUCCCAGAUUAUAUUUUUUUAAAUCAUAUGGUACUGCAAGAAUGAAAAAGUGUUAAAAAAAAAAAAAAAGCCUGCAAAUAAUUUAUAAACAUCAACCACUCAUUGCCACUCUUACCUUUUUGCUUCUAUUGCCUUGUCUUUUGUUGACCUUAAACCAAUGGCAUUAGUCCUGAAAAAUGAUUAUUGGCUUUAUUAAACCAAAUGUGCAGAUUUUUUAAAAUAUUUUUUAAACCAAAGCAUCUUACUAUUAAAACAUACAUCCAAUAAAAGAAAAGUAAAAUAUCAACAAGGCACACUUCUCUGUGCCUACCGCUACAAACACAAGCUAAAAUAACAGACUGAGCCAGUGAUUUUUAUACCACAGGAGCAAAAUUUCUCAGCACUGUAGUAGUUUUAUUUUCACAACUGAAUGAAUUGUGCUAUAUUAUAGUAACUGGGCUUUAUAAUCUUGCUGCUUUUUCCUGGCUUGACUAUAACAUUUCAGUAGCUAUAAUCACACUAUAGCACUUCGAUAAAGCACUACACUUUACAUAGCCAUACAUACUUAACCCAACAUGCAGCAAGUUAAAUAAUCAUUAGCACAGUAACCCAUUGCUAUCAAAAACUUAUUGGUCCUCUAAAUUUUAAAUUAAUGGCCUGUCUUCCUAGCUGUGUGCAUCUGGUUUUGAACUGCUUCAGUAUGAAGUCAUGGAUAUAUUAUCAGUACACGUUAGACAAUUUUUAUUAUUGGCAUUUCAAGAUUAAAAAGCCACAAAAGCGAAUGGUUGUUGCUGAAUUGUUCUAUCCCUAGACCUCUGAGUCUAAAACAAACCAGUCUGAGUGCUAAUUAUCAGCCGAUAUUUGACAAACCAACUAUAGUGUUCAUGUCAUAAGCAUAGAGUCAGGUUAUCAUGCCUAAAAAAAAAUUCCACAAAGCUAAGCAAAUGGGUGAAAAAAAGUUAAAGAUGCAUAAAAUCUCAGCUAAAGGAGGCUGAAUAAUACACCCAAAUUUUUUGAGAAUUUAGGAUGCUUUUCCCCUU